CUACGUGCCAGCAGCCGCGGUAAUACGGAAGGUCCGGGCGUUAUCCGGAUUUAUUGGGUUUAAAGGGAGUGUAGGCGGUCUGUUAAGCGUGUUGUGAAAUUUAGGUGCUCAACAUUUAACUUGCAGCGCGAACUGUCAGACUUGAGUACACGCAGCGCAGGCGGAAUUCAUGGUGUAGCGGUGAAAUGCUUAGAUAUCAUGAGGAACUCCGAUCGCGAAGGCAGCCUGCGGGAGUGUUACUGACGCUUAAGCUCGAAGGUGCGGGUAUCGAACAGGAUUAGAUACCCUGGUAGUCCGCACUGUAAACGAUGGAUGCCCGCCGUUGGCGCCCUGCGCCUGCGGCCAAGCGAAAGCAUUAAGCAUCCCACCUGGGGAGUACGCCGGCAACGGUGAAACUCAAAGGAAUUGACGGGGGCCCGCACAAGCGGAGGAACAUGUGGUUUAAUUCGAUGAUACGCGAGGAACCUUACCCGGGCUUGAA
This 481-nucleotide ribosomal RNA is filed under the name uncultured bacterium. RNAcentral's name for it is "bacterial SSU rRNA". It matches the Rfam family "Bacterial small subunit ribosomal RNA", at positions 501 to 985 of the family's 1533-position model. The record is from RNAcentral.